Molecule: ribosomal RNA, 890 nt
Filed under: Simplicillium lanosoniveum
Lineage: Eukaryota; Fungi; Ascomycota; Sordariomycetes; Hypocreales; Cordycipitaceae
Description: partial large subunit ribosomal RNA
Rfam family: Eukaryotic large subunit ribosomal RNA
Source: RNAcentral
UCAAUAAGCGGAGGAAAAGAAACCAACAGGGAUUGCCCCAGUAACGGCGAGUGAAGCGGCAACAGCUCAAAUUUGAAAUCUGGCUCCUAGAGUCCGAGUUGUAAUUUGUAGAGGAUGCUUUUGAUGCGGUGCCUUCCGAGUUCCCUGGAACGGGACGCCAUAGAGGGUGAGAGCCCCGUCUGGUCGGAUGCCAAAUCUCUGUAAAGCUCCUUCGACGAGUCGAGUAGUUUGGGAAUGCUGCUCUAAAUGGGAGGUAUAUGUCUUCUAAAGCUAAAUAUUGGCCAGAGACCGAUAGCGCACAAGUAGAGUGAUCGAAAGAUGAAAAGCACUUUGAAAAGAGGGUUAAAUAGUACGUGAAAUUGUUGAAAGGGAAGCGCCUAUGACCAGACUUGGGCCCGGUGAAUCAUCCAGCGUUCUCGCUGGUGCACUUUGCCGGGCACAGGCCAGCAUCAGUUUGUCUUGGGGGAAAAAGGCUUUGGGAACGUGGCUCCCUCGGGAGUGUUAUAGACCAUUGCAUAAUACCCUGGGACGGACUGAGGUUCGCGCAUCUGCAAGGAUGCUGGCGUAAUGGUCAUCAGCGACCCGUCUUGAAACACGGACCAAGGAGUCGUCUUCGUAUGCGAGUGUUCGGGUGUAAAACCCCUACGCGUAAUGAAAGUGAACGCAGGUGAGAGCUUCGGCGCAUCAUCGACCGAUCCUGAUGUUCUCGGAUGGAUUUGAGUAAGAGCAUACGGGGCCGGACCCGAAAGAAGGUGAACUAUUCCUGUAUAGGGUGAAGCCAGAGGAAACUCUGGUGGAGGCUCGCAGCGGUUCUGACGUGCGAAUCGAUCGUCAAAUAUGGGAAUGGGGGCGAAAGACUAAUCGAACCUUCUAGUAGCUGGUUUCCGCCG